UACAUAAAAAUAAUAAUAAGCCUCCGCUACUGAGAAAUUACUAUACACCAGGACAGUGCUCAGCAUGAUCUUAUUUACUCCUAGGAACAGCCUGAUGAAAUAAAUCUUACUUGGUGUCAGGCCUCUGAGCCCAAGCCAAGCCAUCGCAUCCCCUGUGACUUGCACGUAUACGCCCAGAUGGCCUGAAGUAACUGAAGAAUCACAAAAGAAGUGAAUAUGCCCUGCCCCACCUUAACUGAUGACAUUCCACCACAAAAGAAGUGUAAAUGGCCUGUCCUUGCCUUAACUGAUGACAUUACCUUGUGAAAGUCCUUUUCCUGGCUCAUCCUGGCUCAAAAAGCACCCCCACUGAGCACCUUGUGACCCCCACUCCUGCCCGCCAGAGAACAAACCCCCUUUGACUGUAAUUUUCCUUUACCUACCCAAAUCCUAUAAAACGGCCCCACCCUUAUCUCCCUUCACUGACUCUCUUUUCAGACUCAGCCCGCCCGCACCCAGAAAGAUCCACCUAUGACCUCAGGUCCUCAGACUGACCAGCCCAAGGAAUAUCUCACCAAUUUUAAAUCAGGUAAGCGGCCUCUUCUUACUCUCUUCUCCAACCUCUCUCACUGUCCCUCAACCACUUUCUCCUUUCCACUCUUCAAUCUCUCCCUUCUCUUAAUUUCAAUUCCUUUCAUUUUCUGGGAGAGACAAAGGAGACACGUUUUAUCCGUGGACCCAAAACUCUGGCGCCGUUCACGGACUAGGAAGGCAGCCUUCCCUUGGUGUUUAAUCAUUGCAGAGAAGCCUCUCUGAUUAUACUCAUGUUUCAAGGGUGUCAGACCACGCAGGGACACCUGCCUUGGUCCUUCACCCUUAGCAGCAAGUCCUGCUUUUCUGGGGAAGGGGCAAGUACCCCAACCCCUUCUCUCCUUGUCUCUACCCCUUCUCUGCUUUUCUGGGAGAGGGGCAAGUACCCCUCAACCCCUUCUCCUUCACCCUUAGCGGCAAGUCCCGCUUUUCUAUGGGGCAAGAACCCCAAUCCCUUAUUUCCACACCCCAACCUCUUAUCUCUGCACCCCAAUCCCUUAUUUCCGUGCCCCAACCUUGUAUCUCUAUGCCCCAAUCCCAUUUCCGCACCCCAACCUCUUAUGUCCCUGCGCCCCAAUCCCUUAUUUCUGCACCCUGACCUCUUAUCUCUGUGCCCCAACCCCUUUUCCCACUUUUCUGGAAGGUAAGAACCCCCGAACCCCUUCCCUCUGUUUCUCUAUUCUCUUUUCUCUAGGCUUGCUUCCUUCACUACGGGCAACCUUCCACCCUCCAUUCCUCCUUCUACUCCUUUGGCCUGUGUUCUCAAAAACUUAAAACCUCUUCAACUCACACCUGACCUAAAACCUAAAUGCCUUAUUUUCUUCUGCAAUGCUGCUUGACCCCACUACAAACUCAACAGUAGUUCCAAAUAGCCAGAAACUGGCACUUUGAAUUUUUCCAUCCUGCAAAAUCUAAAUAAUUCUUGUCAUAAAAUAGGCAAACGGUCUGAGGUGCCUGACGUCCAGGCAUUCUUUCACACAUCAGUCCCUUCCUAGUCACUGUGCCCAGAGCAACUCGUCCCAAAUCUUUCUUUCCCUCCCGCCUGUCCCCUCAGUACCAACCCCAAGCGUCGCUGAGUCUUUCUAAUCUUCCUUUUCUACAGACCCAUCUGACCUCUCCCUUCCUCCCCAGGCUGCUCCUCACCAGGCCGAACUAGGUCCCAAUUCUUUCUCAGCCUCUGCUCCUCCAACCUAUAAUCUUUUUAUCACCUCCCCUCCUCACACCUGGUCUGGCUUACAGUUUCGUUCCGUGACUAGCCCUCCCCCUCCUGCCCAGCAAUUUACUCCUAAAAAGGUGGCUGGAGCUAAAGACAUAGUCAAGGUUAAUGCUCCUUUCCUUAUCCCAAAUUAGAAGCGUUUAGGCUCUUUUUCAUCAAAUAUAAAAAUCCAGCCCAGUUCAUGGCUCGUUUGGCAGCAACCCUGAGACGCUUUAUAGCCCUAGACCCUAAAAGGUCAAAAGGCCGUCUUAUUCUCAAUAUACAUUUUAUUACCCAAUCUGCUCCCAACAUUAAAUAAAACUCCAAAAAUUGGAAUCUGGCCCUCAAACCCCACAACAGGACUUAAUUAACCUCACCUUCAAGGUGUACAAUAAUAGAAAAAAGUUGCAAUUCCUUGCCUCCACUGUGAGACAAACCCCAGCCACAUCUCCAGCACACAAGAACUUCCAAACGCCUGAACCGCAGCGGCCAGGCGUUCCUCCAGAACCUCCUGCCCCAGGAGCUUGCUACACGUGCCGGAAAUCUGGCCACUGGGCCAAGGAAUGCCCGCAGCCUGGGAUUCUUCCUAAGCCGCUUCCCAUCUGUGUGGGACCCCACUGAAAAUCGGACUGUUCAACUCACCUGGCAGCCACUCCCAGAGCCCCUAGAACUCUGGCCCAAGGCUCUCUGACUGACUCCUUCCCAGAUCUUCUCGGCUUAGCGGCUGAAGACUGACACUGCCAGAUCACCUCGGAAGCCCCCUAGACCAUCACGGACGCCGAGCUUCGGGUAACUCUCACAGUGGAAGGUAAGCCCGUCCCCUUCUUAAUCAAUACAGAGGCUACCCACUCCACAUUAGCUUCUUUUCAAGGGCCUGUUUCCCUCGCCUCCAUAACUGUUGUGGGUAUUGACAGCCAGGCUUCUAAACCUCUUAAAACUCCCCAACUCUGGUGCCAACUUAGACAAUACUCUUUUAAGCACUCCUUUUUAGUUAUCCCCACCUGCCCAGUUCCCUUAUUAGGCUGAGACACUUUAACUAAAUUAUCUGCUUCCCUGACUAUUCCUGGACUACAGCUAUAUCUCAUUGCCGCCCUUCUUCCCAAUCCAAAGCCUCCUUUGCAUCCUCCUCUUGUAACCCCCCACCUUAACCCACAAGAUACCUCUACUCCCUCCUUGGCGACCGGUCAUGCACCCCUUACCAUCUCAUUAAAACCUAAUCACCCUUACCCCACUCAACGCCAAUAUCCCAUCCCACAGCACGCUUUAAAAAGAUUAAAGCCCGUUAUCACUCGCCUGCUACAGCAUGGCCUUUUAAAACCUAUAAACUCUCCUUACAAUUCCUCCAUUUUACCUGUCCUAAAACCAGACAAGCCUUACAAGUUAGUUCAGGAUCUGCGCCUUAUCAACCAAAUUGUUUUGCCUAUCCACCCUGUGGUGCCAAACCCAUAUACUCUCCUAUCCUCAAUACCUCCCUCCACAAUCCAUUAUUCUGUUUUGGAUCUCAAACGUGCUUUCUUUACUACUCCUUUGCACCCAUCAUCCCAGCCUCUCUUCGCUUUCACUUGGACUGACCCUGACACCCAUCAAGCUCAGCAAAUUACCUAGGCUACACUGCCGCAAAGCUUCACAGACAGCCCCCAUUACUUCAAUCAAGCCCAAAUUUCUUCCUCAUCUGUUACCUAUCUCGGCAUAAUUCUCAUAAAAACACACGUGCUCUCCCUGCCAAUUGUGUCUGACUGAUCUCUCAAACCCAAGCACCUUCUACAAAACAACAACUCCUUUCCUUCCUAGGCAUGGUUAGCGCGGUCAGAAUUCUUACACAAGAGCCAGGACCGCACCCUGUAGCCUUUCUGUCCAAACAACUUGACCUUACUGUUUUAGCCUAGCCCUCAUGUCUGCGUGCAGCGGCUGCCGCUGCUUUAAUACUUUUAGAGGCCCUCAAAAUCACAAACUAUGCUCAACUCACUCCCUGCAGUUCUCAUAACUUCCAAAAUCUAUUUUCUUCCUCAUACCUGACGCAUAUACUUUCUGCUUCCCGGCGCCUUCAGCUAUACUCACUCUUUGUUGAGUCUCCCACAAUUACCGUUGUUCCUGGCCCAGUCUUCAAUCCGGCCUCCCACAUUAUUCCUGAUACCACACCUGACCCCCAUGACUGUAUCUCUCUAAUCCACCUGACAUUCACCCCAUUUCCCCAGAUUUCCUUCUUUCCUGUUCCUUACCCUGAUCACGCUUGAUUUAUUGAUGGCGGUUCCACCAGGCCUAAUCGCCACAUACCAGCAAAGGCAGGUUAUACUAUAGUACAAGCCACUAGCCCGCCUCUUAGAACCUCUCAUUUCCUUUCCAUUGUGGAAAUCUAUCCUCAAGGAAAUAACUUCUCAGUUUUCCAUCUGCUAUUCUACUACUCCUCAGGGAUUAUUCAGGCCCCCUCCCUUCCCUACACAUCAAGCUUGAGUAUUUGCCCUACCCAGGACUGGCAAAUUAGCUUUACUCAACAUGCCCGAGUCAGGAAACUAAAAUACCUCUUAGUCUAAAUAGACACUUUCACUGAAUAAGUAAAGGCCUUUCCUACAGGGUCUGAGAAGGCCACCGCAGUCAUUUCUUCCUUUCUAUCAGACAUAAUUCCUCAGUUUGGCCUUCCCACCUCAAUACAGUCUGAUAAAGCCUUUAUUAGUCAAAUCAGCCAAGCAGUUUUUCAGGCUUUUAGUAUUCAGUGAAACCUUUAUGUCCCUUAUGGUCCUCCGUCUUCAAGAAAAGUAGAAUGGACUAAAGGUCUUUUAAAAACACACCUCACCAAGCUCAGCCACCAACUUAAAAAGGACUGGAGAAUACUUCUACAACUUUCCCUUCUCAGAAUUCAGGCCUGUCCUCGGAAUGCUACACGGUACAGCCCAUUUAAGCUCCUGUAUAGACGCUCCUUUUUAUUAGGCCCCAGUCUCAUUCCAGACACCAGACCAACUUAGACUGUGCCCCCCUCCAAAAAAAAAACUUGUCAUCCCUACUAUUUUCUGUCUAGUCAUACUCCUAUUCACCGUUCUCAACUACUCAUACAUGCCCUGUUCUUGUUUACACUGUCGGUUUACACUGUUUUUCCAAGCCAUCACAGCUGAUAUCUCCUGGUGCUAUCCCCAAACUGCCACUCUUAACUCUUGAACUAAAUAAAUAAUCUUUGCUAGCAGGACUCUGCCGAAUCUCCUUAGGCACUCUCUAAUCAGAUAUCCUGAGUUGUCCCAAUUCUUAGACCUUUUAUACCUGUUUUUCUCCUUCUGUUAUUCCAUUUAGUUUUUCAAUUCAUACAAAACCGUAUCCAGGCCAUCACCAAUCAUUCUAUAUGACAAAUGUUUCUUCUAACGUCCCCACAAUAUCAGCCCUUACCACAAGAUCUCCCUUCAGCUUAAUCUCUCCCACUCUAGGUUCCCACGCCGCCCCUAAUCCCGCUUGAAGCAGCCCUGAGAAACAUCACCCAUUCUCUCUCCAUACCACCCCCAAAAAUUUUUGCCGCCCCAACUCUUCAACACUAUUUUGUUUUAUUUUUCUUAUUAAUAUAAGAAGGCAGGAAUGUCAGGCCUCUGAGCCCAAGCCAAGCCAUCGCAUCCCCUGUGACUUGCACGUAUACGCCCAGAUGGCCUGAAGUAACUGAAGAAUCACAAAAGAAGUGAAUAUGCCCUGCCCCACCUUAACUGAUGACAUUCCACCACAAAAGAAGUGUAAAUGGCUGGUCCUUGCCUUAACUGAUGACAUUACCUUGUGAAAGUCCUUUUCCUGGCUCAUCCUGGCUCAAAAAGCACCCCCACUAAGCACCUUGCGACCCCCACUCCUGCCCGCCAGAGAACAAACCCCCUUUGACUGUAAUUUUCCUUUACCUACCCAAAUCCUAUAAAACGGCCCCACCCUUAUCUCCCUUCGCUGACUCUCUUUUCGGACUCAGCCCGCCUGCACCCAGGUGAAAUAAACAGCCAUGUUGCUCACACAAAGCCUGUUCGGUGGUCUCUUCACACGGACGCGCAUGAAACUUGGCAUUGCCAUUUUACAGAUGAAGGCCAGGAAGUUUCAGCAAUCUGCCCAAGUUAGGAAGUGGAGAGCUGGAGGUCCCACCCAGGACUGCCUCGUGGAUGCAGCUUCUCUUGCCCUCAUAGCUUCUCUCUCGUGAUACACGUUAGGCUGUCCUACUUCCUCCAGGAAGUCACCCCACGUUCUCGUGAGCCAACAACACCAUUCUUCACACAUCAACAAUGUGAGCCAACUCCCACAUAAAAUGCCCACCAACAGACCAACUGCGGGGCAUUUCAUCCCGAAAUAUGUAGCAGCUGGAUACAGAACAGAAAGAGACACGAGGUGGAGACACGAGGGUUCAGGCUGGUUUGUCUACAGUGGAAUGGAGUCUCCUAAACUCAAUGGCAAAGGUCACAGGAUGGUCAGCUGUGAGAAGACAGCAGGGAAUCAAGGGCAGCAGCUUGUUUUGUCCUACAAACACUGUCCUAAAAACACUGCAAAAUUCUCAUGUUGAAACAAAACUCCUGGAUAUCUACACAAAAAUCUGCACACAAAUAUUCCUAGCAACAUUACUCAUAAUACCCCAAAAGUGGAAACCACCUCACUAUGAACGGAGUGUCUCCAAAAUUCAUAUGUUGAAGUCUUAAUCUCCAUUGUGAUGAUAUUUGAAGGUGGGGCUUUGGGGAGGUAAUUAGGGAGAAGGAGGAGCCUUCGCGAAUGGAAUUGAUGCCAUUAGAAGAAGAGACAGGAGAGAGAUCAUCUCUCUCUGCCACGGGAGGAUCCAGCAUAAAGACGGCGUCCUGCAAGAGCUCCCUCACUGAGCACUGUGAUCACCCAGUCUGAUCACAGACUUCCAGACUCCAGAACUGUGAGAAAUAAACAUCUGUUGUUUAAGCCACUCAGGCUGCAGUGAGUGCUGUGGCAGCCAAACAGACUAAGACAAACCCAAAUGCCCAUUUACUGAUAAAUGGAUGCAUAAAAUAUUAUAA
Gorilla gorilla gorilla (western lowland gorilla) is the source of this 6744-nucleotide long non-coding RNA. RefSeq lists it as uncharacterized. The transcript has 2 exons. The record is from RefSeq and is a predicted model, not a curated record. NCBI's taxonomy places the organism in Eukaryota, Metazoa, Chordata, Mammalia, Primates, Hominidae.